This 72-nucleotide transfer RNA is filed under the name Siphoviridae sp. ctHip2. Its description in RNAcentral is "tRNA-Glu". It matches the Rfam family "tRNA". Rfam says of the family: Transfer RNA (tRNA) molecules are approximately 80 nucleotides in length. Their secondary structure includes four short double-helical elements and three loops (D, anti-codon, and T loops). Lineage: Duplodnaviria; Heunggongvirae; Uroviricota; Caudoviricetes. The record is from RNAcentral.
UCGGGGUUCGACUAGUGGUUAGGUCACAGCUCUUUCACAGCUGUAGCGCGGGUUCAAAUCCCGUACCCCGAA